Molecule: transfer RNA, 82 nt
Filed under: Paucibacter sp. KCTC 42545
Lineage: Bacteria; Pseudomonadati; Pseudomonadota; Betaproteobacteria; Burkholderiales; Sphaerotilaceae
Rfam family: tRNA
About the family: Transfer RNA (tRNA) molecules are approximately 80 nucleotides in length.
Source: Rfam by way of RNAcentral
GCCCCGAUGGCGGAAUCGGUAGACGCAGGGGACUCAAAAUCCCCCGCCGCAAGGUGUGCCGGUUCGAGUCCGGCUUGGGGCA